GAAAAGGCUGUUUUUAAAGCCACCAAUAAAAACAGGGAGGUUAAA
Lutibacter sp. BRH_c52 is the source of this 45-nucleotide non-coding RNA. The record is from Rfam. Lineage: Bacteria; Pseudomonadati; Bacteroidota; Flavobacteriia; Flavobacteriales; Flavobacteriaceae.